This is a non-coding RNA of Schizosaccharomyces pombe (fission yeast), 260 nucleotides long. The record is from the annotation of a GenBank genome assembly. NCBI's taxonomy places the organism in Eukaryota, Fungi, Ascomycota, Schizosaccharomycetes, Schizosaccharomycetales, Schizosaccharomycetaceae.
CCGGGUUGUUCCUGAGAAGAAAGGCUAGUUGCCUUUUCAAGACUGAUGGCACUAGCAUUUGCUUCAUUAGUAACACGAAGAACCCGAGAAGUGUUUGGCGCAAAAACAAGAGGAGCUAAGGGAUCGAAACUAGAAUCUUCCUUUUUAUGGUGAAAUUUCGAAUAAAAUUUGCUAAGUAAACGCUUCGCUCGACUAACAUGUCUAUGGAUACCAUGAGGUUCAAGUUCAAAACUUCCUCUAGAAGAAAGAGCGUUUGACUC